GGCUGCCCGUUCUUAAGAGCAGUCUGGCCUGCCCACUGAAUCUAUUUAAAGGGCCGCGGUAUCCUGACCGUGCGAAGGUAGCAUAAUAAUUAGUCUUUUAAUUGAAGACCGGAAUGAAGGGUCGGACAAAAAGCAACCUGUCUUAAUUAAAACUCUCUAAUUUAACUUUUAAGUGAAAAGGCUUAAAUACCCUCGUAGGACGACAAGACCCUAUAAAACUUCAUACACCUAUCUUAACCUUCGAUUUAUCUGUGAAAAGUUGGGUACGUAAAAUGUAUUCCGUUGGGGCGACGAAAGUAUAAUUUGUAACUGCUUUUAUUUAAAACACUCAUCAAUGAAAUUUUUGAUCCUUUUUCAAGAUUAAAAGAAAAAGUUACUUUAGGGAUAACAGCGUAAUUUUUUUUGAGAGUCCUUAUCGACAAAAAAGCUUGCGACCUCGAUGUUGAAUUAAAAUAACCUAAUGGUGCAGUAGCCUCUGAGGUAGGUCUGUUCGACCUUUAAAAUUUUACAUGAUUUGAGUUCAAACCGGCGCGAG
This 535-nucleotide ribosomal RNA is filed under the name Neocallichirus sp. 1 RR-2008. Its description in RNAcentral is "partial 16S ribosomal RNA". It matches the Rfam family "Bacterial large subunit ribosomal RNA", at positions 1831 to 2625 of the family's 2925-position model. Lineage: Eukaryota; Metazoa; Arthropoda; Malacostraca; Decapoda; Callianassidae. The record is from RNAcentral.